AUAUCAGAAGGCACACCCGGAGAACUGAAACAUCUUAGUACCCGGAGGAAGAAAAAGAAAAUUCGAUUCCCUUAGUAGCGGCGAGCGAAACGGGAAGAGCCCAAACCAACAAGCUUGCUUGUUGGGGUUGUAGGACACUCUAUACGGAGUUACAAAGGACGACAUUAGACGAAUCAUCUGGAAAGAUGAAUCAAAGAAGGUAAUAAUCCUGUAGUCGAAAAUGUUGUCUCUCUUGAGUGGAUCCUGAGUACGACGGAACACGUGAAAUUCCGUCGGAAUCUGGGAGGACCAUCUCCUAAGGCUAAAUACUCUCUAGUGACCGAUAGUGAACCAGUACCGUGAGGGAAAGGUGAAAAGCACCCCGGAAGGGGAGUGAAAUAGAACCUGAAACCGUGUGCUUACAAGUAGUCAGAGCCCGUUAAUGGGUGAUGGCGUGCCUUUUGUAGAAUGAACCGGCGAGUUACGAUUUGAUGCAAGGUUAAGCAGUAAAUGUGGAGCCGUAGCGAAAGCGAGUCUGAAUAGGGCGUUUAGUAUUUGGUCGUAGACCCGAAACCAGGUGAUCUACCCUUGGUCAGGUUGAAGUUCAGGUAACACUGAAUGGAGGACCGAACCGACUUACGUUGAAAAGUGAGCGGAUGAACUGAGGGUAGCGGAGAAAUUCCAAUCGAACCUGGAGAUAGCUGGUUCUCUCCGAAAUAGCUUUAGGGCUAGCCUCAAGUGAUGAUUAUUGGAGGUAGAGCACUGUUUGGACGAGGGGCCCCUCUCGGGUUACCGAAUUCAGACAAACUCCGAAUGCCAAUUAAUUUAACUUGGGAGUCAGAACAUGGGUGAUAAGGUCCGUGUUCGAAAGGGAAACAGCCCAGACCACCAGCUAAGGUCCCAAAAUAUAUGUUAAGUGGAAAAGGAUGUGGCGUUGCCCAGACAACUAGGAUGUUGGCUUAGAAGCAGCCAUCAUUUAAAGAGUGCGUAAUAGCUCACUAGUCGAGUGACACUGCGCCGAAAAUGUACCGGGGCUAAACAUAUUACCGAAGCUGUGGAUUGUCCUUUGGACAAUGGUAGGAGAGCGUUCUAAGGGCGUUGAAGCAUGAUCGUAAGGACAUGUGGAGCGCUUAGAAGUGAGAAUGCCGGUGUGAGUAGCGAAAGACGGGUGAGAAUCCCGUCCACCGAUUGACUAAGGUUUCCAGAGGAAGGCUCGUCCGCUCUGGGUUAGUCGGGUCCUAAGCUGAGGCCGACAGGCGUAGGCGAUGGAUAACAGGUUGAUAUUCCUGUACCACCUAUAAUCGUUUUAAUCGAUGGGGGGACGCAGUAGGAUAGGCGAAGCGUGCGAUUGGAUUGCACGUCUAAGCAGUAAGGCUGAGUAUUAGGCAAAUCCGGUACUCGUUAAGGCUGAGCUGUGAUGGGGAGAAGACAUUGAGUCUUCGAGUCGUUGAUUUCACACUGCCGAGAAAAGCCUCUAGAUAGAAAAUAGGUGCCCGUACCGCAAACCGACACAGGUAGUCAAGAUGAGAAUUCUAAGGUGAGCGAGCGAACUCUCGUUAAGGAACUCGGCAAAAUGACCCCGUAACUUCGGGAGAAGGGGUGCUCUUUAGGGUUAACGCCCAGAAGAGCCGCAGUGAAUAGGCCCAAGCGACUGUUUAUCAAAAACACAGGUCUCUGCUAAACCGUAAGGUGAUGUAUAGGGGCUGACGCCUGCCCGGUGCUGGAAGGUUAAGAGGAGUGGUUAGCUUCUGCGAAGCUACGAAUCGAAGCCCCAGUAAACGGCGGCCGUAACUAUAACGGUCCUAAGGUAGCGAAAUUCCUUGUCGGGUAAGUUCCGACCCGCACGAAAGGCGUAACGAUUUGGGCACUGUCUCAACGAGAGACUCGGUGAAAUCAUAGUACCUGUGAAGAUGCAGGUUACCCGCGACAGGACGGAAAGACCCCGUGGAGCUUUACUGUAGCCUGAUAUUGAAAUUCGGCACAGCUUGUACAGGAUAGGUAGGAGCCUUUGAAACGUGAGCGCUAGCUUACGUGGAGGCGCUGGUGGGAUACUACCCUAGCUGUGUUGGCUUUCUAACCCGCACCACUUAUCGUGGUGGGAGACAGUGUCAGGCGGGCAGUUUGACUGGGGCGGUCGCCUCCUAAAAGGUAACGGAGGCGCUCAAAGGUUCCCUCAGAAUGGUUGGAAAUCAUUCAUAGAGUGUAAAGGCAUAAGGGAGCUUGACUGCGAGACCUACAAGUCGAGCAGGGUCGAAAGACGGACUUAGUGAUCCGGUGGUUCCGCAUGGAAGGGCCAUCGCUCAACGGAUAAAAGCUACCCCGGGGAUAACAGGCUUAUCUCCCCCAAGAGUUCACAUCGACGGGGAGGUUUGGCACCUCGAUGUCGGCUCAUCGCAUCCUGGGGCUGUAGUCGGUCCCAAGGGUUGGGCUGUUCGCCCAUUAAAGCGGUACGCGAGCUGGGUUCAGAACGUCGUGAGACAGUUCGGUCCCUAUCCGUCGUGGGCGUAGGAAAUUUGAGAGGAGCUGUCCUUAGUACGAGAGGACCGGGAUGGACAUACCUCUGGUGUACCAGUUGUCGUGCCAACGGCAUAGCUGGGUAGCUAUGUGUGGACGGGAUAAGUGCUGAAAGCAUCUAAGCAUGAAGCCCCCCUCAAGAUGAGAUUUCCCAACUUCGGUUAUAAGAUCCCUCAAAGAUGAUGAGGUUAAUAGGUUCGAGGUGGAAGCAUGGUGACAUGUGGAGCUGACGAAUACUAAUCGAUCGAAGACUUAAUCAA
Molecule: ribosomal RNA, 2753 nt
Filed under: Staphylococcus aureus T13128
Lineage: Bacteria; Bacillati; Bacillota; Bacilli; Caryophanales; Staphylococcaceae
Description: bacterial LSU rRNA
Rfam family: Bacterial large subunit ribosomal RNA
Source: RNAcentral